GGCCGAUGCCACUGACAGUGCGUGAAGUUAAGAAUAUCAGGCGGUCUCCCUUCCAAGUAUUACCCAAGCCCAACGUUGCUACUACGGUGAUCGGACGAGAACCGGCGUGUUCAACGUGACCGUCUCCUUUGUAAUUACUUUCCGGGCCCAACUUU
Long non-coding RNA from Varroa destructor (honeybee mite), 155 nucleotides. Lineage: Eukaryota; Metazoa; Arthropoda; Arachnida; Mesostigmata; Varroidae. The record is from RefSeq and is a predicted model, not a curated record.